Molecule: ribosomal RNA, 369 nt
Filed under: uncultured bacterium
Lineage: Bacteria
Description: bacterial SSU rRNA
Rfam family: Bacterial small subunit ribosomal RNA
Source: RNAcentral
AACGAACGCUGGCGGCAUGCCUAACACAUGCAAGUCGAACGCGUGUAGCAAUACACGAGUGGCGGACGGGUGAGUAACGCGUGGGAACCUGCCCAGUGGUAGGGAAUAACUGCGGGAAACUGCAGCUAAUACCCUAUACGCCCUUUGGGGAAGGAUUCAUCGCCAUUGGAGGGGCCCGCGUCGGAUUAGCUAGUUGGCGGGGUAACGGCCCACCAAGGCAACGAUCCGUAGCUGGUCNGAGAGGAUGAUCAGCCACACUGGGACUGAGAUACGGCCCAGACUCCUACGGGAGGGCAGCAGUGGGGAAGUCUUUGCGCAAUGGGCGAAAGACCUGACGCAGCGACGCCGCGUGGGGGAGUGAAGCCUUUC